Molecule: ribosomal RNA, 301 nt
Filed under: uncultured bacterium
Lineage: Bacteria
Description: partial 16S ribosomal RNA
Rfam family: Bacterial small subunit ribosomal RNA
Source: RNAcentral
CAGUCGCCGCGGGAAUACGGAGGGCGCGAGCGUUACCCGGAUUUACUGGGCGUAAAGGGCGUGUAGGCGGCCUUGGGGCGUCCCAUGUGAAAGGCCACGGCUCAACCGUGGAGGAGCGUGGGAUACGCUCAGGCUAGAGGGUGGGAGAGGGUGGUGGAAUUCCCGGAGUAGCGGUGAAAUGCGCAGAUACCGGGAGGAACGCCGAUGGCGAAGGCAGCCACCUGGUCCACUUCUGACGCUGAGGCGCGAAAGCGUGGGGAGCAAACCGGAUUAGAGACCCCCGUAGUCCCUGUCUCUUAUA